Molecule: long non-coding RNA, 1002 nt
Organism: Esox lucius (northern pike)
Lineage: Eukaryota; Metazoa; Chordata; Actinopteri; Esociformes; Esocidae
Source: Ensembl
GUGAUUUUCUACAUUGUAAUCUCUUAUCACAAACGCCAAAUACCUGUAUUUUGCGUCUUUUACGGUUGCUCAAAUCGAUCAGACCGAGAAACCACAAGGUACUUUAACCGUAUACCCAAAGUAGUUGUUCAUAAAGGUAAAAAAAAAAAAAAAAGCAAGAAAUUGACAGAAAAACGCCAGUUAAAAAUGGCUUGCAAAACUGCGUCUGCGGUCGGGAGGAGCCGGGUCGGAUAAUGCUCGUGUGUGCAGUGACCACUUUGUCAAAGGGCUCUGCAGGGAGACACCCUGGGUCUGAGCUGUCAGUCAGGCACUGUCUCUGCACUGCUCUCAGCACUGGGGCUCCAGGUUGUGAACAGGUCUUGGAACGUCCCAGUUUCCCCCGCUGUCCUCGAGAUGUCCAUGAGUGACCAGCUAUCACAAUGCCAAGACAGGUUCGAUAUUUUCUAAGAUGGAAGGAGAUUUCAGACGGAUGAUUGUGUGCGUGUGGUUCCCCUUUCACCUCCACUGUUGUACCUUGGGGAAAAAUGAAGGAAAAUGAAGCAAAAGUAGUGUAACCAACGUCUGCAGUGUGUUUCAUCGUCCCACAACUGUGUGAACAUUAUUGCGUGUUUAUAUUCGGGGCCCUCUCCUACACAAGGUGAAGAAAUGUGGAUGUAUGAAGAACCAAUCUGAAGAGCACUUAUUCUACUAGGCUGGUCAAUAAAGAACACAUUUUUAAUUCCAAUAACGGCCUGCCAAGAGGUGAACUACCUCCUGGAUGAUACUUUGUUCACUGGGAUGGUCCACAAAAAUAGAGACUUUGGAUAUUUUAAGUAGGUGAGGUACAGUAGCCUUGUGAUUAACAGUGUUCAGCCAGUUACCGAAAGCUCACCAGUUCAAAUUCCCUUGCUGAGGUGAGGAAAACAAUGUUUUAGAGUCCCCUGCAAAAUUAAAUACCCUUUAAAAUAGACCACAUGAAGUUAAGAAAUACGUUUUUUUAGAUCAAUUAACACUCAACAAAUG